GGCCUCAGAUGACGUGGCAGAAUGCAAAGAAGCCAAACAUUAUUCUGUACCUCUAAAAUUAAUAUUUCCCCAUUCAUCGAUGAUGUACAUUAGAGGGAAGAAACCGGAAAGUAUUACGCGGGCCUCUCACUGUUGUGACCUCUCCCGUUGCAGAGCACAGGCUCCGGACGCACAAGCUCAGCGGCCAUGGCUCAUGGGCCCAGCCGCUCCGCGGCAUGUGGGAUCUUCCUGGACCGGGGCACGAACCCAUGUCCCCUGCAUUGGCAGGUGGACUCUCAACCACUGCGCUACCAGGGAAGCUCAGAAACUUUUUAAGGAUAGUGGAGCAUGUGUUUGGGGUACUUACUGCUGUUAUCCUCUGUCGCUGGAGUAACUGCUGAUUUGUAACAGACACAUAUGCAGGCAACUAGCUGUCUCCUAACAUUUUAUCUAAAGUCAUACAUUAUGCACUAUUCCCUUUCAUCAUUCUCUCAACAUUUUAGUGCUCAGUUUCCUACCAUGUGAGGCCAUCUCUAUUUUAGAAUUCUGUAAACUAUAAAUUGUUUAGCAAAAACACUGACAUUAUCAUAAACGGAUCUGAGAAUCCGCUUUCAGUCCAGUAUAUUAAUAUGUAAUCUCAGAACUGGUCCUGUUACUAACAUCAGGGCAGUCUUUUGAGAAUGAAGUGCUGUGAGUCUACUGAAAUUCAAUUUCUUAUUCUACAUAAUGAACACCAAAGUGAGACACACUUGAUACCAUCCUGAAUGAGAGUAUUUCAAAUCAACAUUGCAUUUACAGUCCUUAGAGAAUAACCAAGAGCUGGUUAGACUUUCUGCAGUUUCUAUACAAGGAAGUUCUUGGUGGGGGAAGAGGUAAGUUUGAAGAGUCCAGAAUCAUGGUAUCACAGUAUGAUUGUUUCUAAUCCAAAUAAGUAAAGGAGCUUGAGGAAGUGUUAGUGAAAUCUGUGAAACGUGCACUGUGCUUGUUAGAGCAGCCUGAAAUUUGCGUAUUGGGAAUUGUUAUUAUCCCACACAUUCUUUAGUUUAUGCCACAGUGCUCUGAAUAUGGAAUAUAUCCUGAUGGGUCUUGGCCUGAAGACCAGAUGAUCCUCAUUUAAAUCCCACUUUUCUGUGCUCUUAGAUUACACGGGGGUACAAUACUGACAUGACAUGCUAGAGAGUACAUGCUCCUCUAGAAGGAUGACGGCAAUGCCAUGUCCUUGGAGAGUUUGGUGAUUAUCAGUUGAACAGAGGUCCUGCUAAGACUUUUGGAAACAAAUGCAUCUGCCUGUUGCUGGAAGCAAAGAAAAUGGUCUCCUUUUAAAUUGGUUGGGCAGAUAUGCGUUAGUUGGCCUCUUUCAGAAGAGAGAAAUGGUCUUGGAUCUCCUUGUUUAGGAGAAUGAGAAAAUGCUUGCACAAGGAUGGAUUUGGCGAGGGGAAAUUCAAUGAAGUACUGCUUACAGUAUCACCCUGAAAUUCCAUCUCAUCUUGUAUUGAAUCAGCUGAGGAAUUAAAGAAAUACCUUAAUGUCCUCCAAAGGAAGAAGGCUUGAAACAGCAGGAAUUCAUUGUCUUUGGCUACAACUAUUUCUAAAGGGAACCCUGGAACCGCUUCUUUGUGGAGAAGAAUUCUAGAAAUAUUUUCUGAGCCUAGAAGCAAUAAAGAACAAAAACGGGU
Long non-coding RNA from Lagenorhynchus albirostris (white-beaked dolphin), 1655 nucleotides. RefSeq lists it as uncharacterized. Lineage: Eukaryota; Metazoa; Chordata; Mammalia; Artiodactyla; Delphinidae. The transcript has 2 exons. The record is from RefSeq and is a predicted model, not a curated record.